This 195-nucleotide unclassified non-coding RNA is filed under the name plant metagenome. Its description in RNAcentral is "partial contains small subunit ribosomal RNA, internal transcribed spacer 1, and 5.8S ribosomal RNA". The record is from RNAcentral.
UCUCCGUUGGUGAACCAGCGGAGGGAUCAUUACCGGGUUUACAACUCCCAAACCCCUGUGAACAUACCAUUUGUUGCCUCGGCGGUGCCUGCUUCGGCAGCCCGCCAGAGGACCCAAACCCUUGAUUUUAUACAGUAUCUUCUGAGUAAAUGAUUAAAUAAAUCAAAACUUUCAACAACGGAUCUCUUGGUUCUG